Non-coding RNA from Pantherophis guttatus, 591 nucleotides. The record is from RefSeq and is a predicted model, not a curated record. Lineage: Eukaryota; Metazoa; Chordata; Lepidosauria; Squamata; Colubridae.
ACAGUUGCUGUCCUAAACCCAGAACCACAUGGGUUGUUAAAUGAGGCUCUCAUGUGACUCCUAUGAGGAAGAGACAAGAACCCAAGACAAACAGAGCCUUGGUAGUACAGUGGUCUAAAGCACCCUGUUAUUAAGACCAGCUGCCUGCAAUUACUGCAGGUUCGAAUCUCGCCAGGCUCAAGGUUGACUCAGCCUUCCAUCCUUUCUAAGAUCAAGCAAGGAAGGCAGCCCUGGGCCAGAGACAGCGCCGGAUGACGAAACAAUCCUCCUAACCUUUCACGUCAGAACGCCCGCCAGGAAACUCCAUCAAAAUGAAUGAGACUCAGCUGGAACAAACCCGCAAAGGACUGGGCUGUAAUUCUCUACUCACCAUUGAAUUCUAUGGAGCCUGGUCGCGUUUUCUUUCCCUGAAACUGGUGGACUCCCGCUAGUAUGUUGUGCCCAACGAAUUGUUCUGGAAGACAUUUCAUCUCCUUCCAUGCUCCACAGCAUCCAGAAGAAAACCCCUAGUUUUCCAACAAAGAACUUCCAAAUCAUUUGGAAAAUUUGCCGAAAAUAAGUUUUUCUGCAGUAAAAUAUUAAUAAAUUCAG